AUGAGGAUCCAAAAGAUCAGAGGGGUUUCGGUUGUGCAGAAAACGAUGAGGAAUGUAUGGAGUUGUGAUGCAAAGAGUGAAGCUAAUCGUUACAAUUUUUUUGACGAUUCUGCAAAGGGUAUCGAUGGGUCAAUGAGAGAGGUGGGUAACAUAGUUUUGAAUCCUAAUUUUUGUUGGUGCAUUGUUGGUGUUGAUGGUAGGCUGCAGUGA
This is a non-coding RNA of Vicia faba (fava bean), 210 nucleotides long. The record is from the annotation of a GenBank genome assembly. NCBI's taxonomy places the organism in Eukaryota, Viridiplantae, Streptophyta, Magnoliopsida, Fabales, Fabaceae.